UAGUAUUCUAUUGAGUGUGUAAAUAGAUUUUACUUCCCAAAUUAAAAAGCAAUUAGUCUAAACUUUUCUGGUUUCGGUAAUCCUUGCUUAAUCUCCUUAAAAGUCAUUCGUUGCUUUUUUCAUUCCAGUGAACUUCAAUCCAUCAGACUGUGUUGUUUACGAUUUUUUUAAAAUACCCACAAUGUUCAAACUUGCUAUGUGUUCGAUAAUUGUCAUUUUAAUUUCUCAACUAGAGAAAUCAAGCCAACAGGACGAUGAGAAACCUACACCUUUUAAUAAUAACCUUUACGAAGCCAUCACUGAUUUCCUUGAGGAACAGAAACAAGCAAAAAAAGAAUCACUUGAGCUCUUUGACACGAAUAAGGAUGGCUUCUUGGAUGUCGAGGAACUCAUUGUUGCUGCUGAGGCUGGCAAAUUAUUUGAAACUUUUUCUGGAUACAAGUUCAAUGGUUACGAUGUACAAGAAAAGUUGGACCAGUGGGAUUUUGACAACGACAACAAAUUGUCUUUCGAGGAAUGGGUCAACUUUUAAGGAACCGGAAGGACUACGGCAGUCGUACGAUAGAUAUGCUAACCCGGACAAUGUUUUUAUGAUAAGCCCCGUUCUCCAAGUUUUAAGCAGUGUAACUUUCCAAUCUAAUUCUUAACAAUAAAAAUUGAAUUAUUUGCUAGAAUUACAA
This is a long non-coding RNA of Folsomia candida, 680 nucleotides long. RefSeq lists it as uncharacterized. The transcript is spliced from 2 exons. NCBI's taxonomy places the organism in Eukaryota, Metazoa, Arthropoda, Collembola, Entomobryomorpha, Isotomidae. The record is from RefSeq and is a predicted model, not a curated record.